Molecule: ribosomal RNA, 254 nt
Filed under: uncultured bacterium
Lineage: Bacteria
Description: partial 16S ribosomal RNA
Rfam family: Bacterial small subunit ribosomal RNA
Source: RNAcentral
UACGGAGGGGGCUAGCGUUGUUCGGAAUUACUGGGCGUAAAGCGCGCGUAGGCGGCUUUGUAAGUUUAGAGGUGAAAGCCCGGAGCUCAACUCCGGAAUUGCCUUUAAGACUGCAUCGCUAGAAUCAUGGAGAGGUGAGUGGAAUUCCGAGUGUAGAGGUGAAAUUCGUAGAUAUUCGGAGGAACACCAGUGGCGAAGGCGGCUCACUGGUCCGGUACUGACGCUGAGGUGCGAAAGCGUGGGGAGCAAACAGG